UACGUAGGGUGCGAGCGUUGUCCGGAAUUACUGGGCGUAAAGAGCUCGUAGGUGGUUUGUCGCGUUGUUCGUGAAAACCGGGGGCUUAACCCUCGGCGUGCGGGCGAUACGGGCAGACUUGAGUACUGCAGGGGAGACUGGAACUCCUGGUGUAGCGGUGAAAUGCGCAGAUAUCAGGAAGAACACUGGUGGCGAAGGCGGGUCUCUGGGCCGAAACUGACGCUGAGGAGCGAAAGCGUGGGUAGCAAACAGG
This 253-nucleotide ribosomal RNA is filed under the name uncultured bacterium. RNAcentral describes it as "partial 16S ribosomal RNA". It matches the Rfam family "Bacterial small subunit ribosomal RNA", at positions 524 to 776 of the family's 1533-position model. The record is from RNAcentral.